This 743-nucleotide ribosomal RNA is filed under the name uncultured bacterium. RNAcentral describes it as "bacterial SSU rRNA". It matches the Rfam family "Bacterial small subunit ribosomal RNA", at positions 94 to 823 of the family's 1533-position model. The record is from RNAcentral.
AGCGGCGGACGGGUGAGUAACACGUGGGUAACCUGCCCAAGAGACUGGGAUAACACCUGGAAACAGAUGCUAAUACCGGAUAACAACACUAGACGCAUGUCUAGAGUUUGAAAGAUGGUUCUGCUAUCACUCUUGGAUGGACCUGCGGUGCAUUAGCUAGUUGGUAAGGUAACGGCUUACCAAGGCAAUGAUGCAUAGCCGAGUUGAGAGACUGAUCGGCCACAUUGGGACUGAGACACGGCCCAAACUCCUACGGGAGGCAGCAGUAGGGAAUCCUCCACAAUGGACGAAAGUCUGAUGGAGCAACGCCGCGUGAGUGAAGAAGGGUUUCGGCUCGUAAAGCUCUGUUGGUAGUGAAGAAAGAUAGAGGUAGUAACUGGCCUUUAUUUGACGGUAAUUACUUAGAAAGUCACGGCUAACUACGUGCCAGCAGCCGCGGUAAUACGUAGGUGGCAAGCGUUGUCCGGAUUUAUUGGGCGUAAAGCGAGUGCAGGCGGUUCAAUAAGUCUGAUGUGAAAGCCUUCGGCUCAACCGGAGAAUUGCAUCAGAAACUGUUGAACUUGAGUGCAGAAGAGGAGAGUGGAACUCCAUGUGUAGCGGUGGAAUGCGUAGAUAUAUGGAAGAACACCAGUGGCGAAGGCGGCUCUCUGGUCUGCAACUGACGCUGAGGCUCGAAAGCAUGGGUAGCGAACAGGAUUAGAUACCCUGGGUAGUCCAUGCCGUAAACGAUGAGUGCUAAGUGU